UAUCUCCCUUCGCUGACUCUCUUUUCGGACUCAGCCCACCUGCACCCAUGUGACUAAAAAGCUUUAUUGCUCACACAAAGCCUGUUUGGUGGUCUCUUCACACGGACGUGCGUCACAUUUGGUGCCAAAACCUGGGACAGGAGGACUCCUUCAGGAGACUGGUCUCCUGUCUUUGCCCUCACUCUGUGAGGAGAUCCACCUACCACCUCAGGUCUUCAGACCAACCAGCCCAAGAAACAUCUCAUGAAUUUCAAAUUGGGAUCCAUCUUGUUGCAGCUCUGAGACUGCUGGGUCCCACCCCUUCAAGAUUCCUAGCCAAUCAGGCUCCACUUCUCUCCCUUUAACCAGUCCUGGACAAGCCUGACCAGCCUUGAAGACCCAAGUAAGGCUCAGCCUUUGUUUAGCCAUCUCAACAGCAGAGACAGAGAUGGAGUCUCGUUCUGUUGCCCAGGCUGGAGUGCAAAUACUGUGAUCUUGGCUCACUGCAACCUCUGCCUCCCAGGUUCAAGCAGUCCUCCUGUCUCAGCCUCCCGAGUAGCUGGGAUUACAGGCAUGUGCCACCACACCUGGGCAGAGAAGUUAAGGAUCAUGUCCUGCAAAUAAAGGCUGAACCAAGAUUUGAAUGACAGGGUCCUGACUCCACAGGCUGUACUCUUAACUGCUACUACCACAGUUUUUGUUUGUUUGUUUUUUAAAUCUCACCCUUUAAAAAUUCCUUUUUAGGUAUGUUUUAUUAGUAGUAUAAUAGAGCAUCCUGGUUCCUUGGGGGUCCAAACUGAAAAAUUUUUACCGGUAGGAAUGCCCAGUCACAUUAUGCCACUUUUUCACAUGCUACCUUGCUUCAUUUGCUUAUUGCUUCAUAUUCAUAAAUCGUAUUUCUCCUAGGAAAUUUGGAGUGUCCUUGAAGGUAGGAAUUAUGUCUUAAACUUUCACUUGGUUCCCACAGUAGGCCUAACUGUAUUGUCCCUACUCAUUGAAUUGAAUAAAACUGGUACUCCAGCAACCUUAUACCUCUGGAGUAAAGCAAAGCUAGUGCAAAUAUAUACAGUAGAAGUAUAGUCCAUUUCCAGAGCUUCUGGGAAGGCCGAAAUCACUAACCACACAGUAACUUAAAAAUAAUCCUGCUGGCCAGGCACGGUAGCUCACGCCUCACUUUGGGAGGCCGAAGCAGGCAGGUCACAAGGUCAGGAGUUCAAGACCUGCCUGGACAACAUGGUGAAACCCCAUCUCCAUUAAAAAUACAAAAAUUAGCCGGGUGUGGUGGCACGUGCCUGUAAUCCCAGCUACUUAGGAGGCUGAGGCAGGAGAAUUGCUUCAACUCGGGAAAUGGAGGUUGCAGUGAGCCAAGAUCAUGCCAUUGCACUCCAGCCUGGGUGAUAGAGUGAGACUCUGUCUCAAAAUAAAAAUAAAAAUAAAACACCAACAUGAAACCGUAUUUAAUUUAGGGCUUUGCUGUCCAGCGAACUCAAACUGCAGAUGUGCUGCAAUCAGCCUAAUUGAAAGUGGUUAUAACCCAUGCUUUGACUCCCUCUGUUGGCAGGAAGAGGUUGCUUUCUCACUUGCGGGAAUUCUUAGCUCAGGUUGUAUAAUGGCUGUUUACUACAGAUACAGCCUGAGAAAAUUCAGCCAGAUUAGAUAAGGGGAAGACAACACCCACUGAAUCUUUCUCCCCAGAUGGCAACUAAAUACUCUUUUCAUUUUUCUUACAUGCUAACAUUGCUACCUAUAAACUGCUUAGUUAAUUGUUCAGAGAACCACCACACACCUGACCUUGUUUGGCUGUGACUUUCUUCUUUUUUUUUUUUUUUUUCUUUUGGAGAUGGGGUCUCAUUCUGUCGCCCAGGCUGGAGUGCAGUGGCGCGAUCAUAGCUCACUGUAACCUCAAGCUCCUGGCCUCAAGUGAUCCUCCCGCCUCAGCCUCCAGAAGUGCUGGAAUUACAGGCGUGAGUCACUGCACCUGGCCCCAGUCUUCUAAUUGCAGGGUAUAAGAAGUACAACCUUGAUAGCUCACAGAAGGCUGCACAGGGAAAGCCUGGCUUUCCCACACUGUCUGCUAACACUGUAUCUCUAAUAUUUUCCAUGAUACAGGAAUUUUUUUGGCUUCAUCUAGUGGAAUAAAAUAUCUAAAAUUAUUCGUUUGAAUCAUUAAGUGGAAUCAAACACAUACACAUCUUUCCUUAGCACAUUGUUUCUUUCCCAAUUCCCCCUUUCCAGAAUUUUUAUAUACGCAUCUCAACUGUCACUUAAUCACGUCAAUGACUCCUCAUCAUUUGAGAUUUGGCUCCAAUACCCCAGGCAGAAUUCCUCUGUAUGGUUUUCCCACAGGCAUACAGAGCAUCUCUUCUCCCAUUUCGGCUGUGAGCAACUCCUAAGACCAGUGGAGACCCUGAGAUGCCACCAGUGCCUGGCAUAUUUCAGAAUUCAAAAAAGAUUUGUUUAAAUAAAUACAAUUUAAAACCAUAUUCCAUUUUAAAGGCUAAUUUUAUCCAUAUGAGAAUUCUCCCUGCAUGCAAUGUGAAGACAUUUAAUUCAUUAAAGGGGCAUAACAAUUUUAUAUAUAUAUAUAUAUAUAUAUAUAUAUAUAUAUAUAUAAAACUUUGUUUACAUUAGAGUAUAAUUAAAUAGGCCUGGCACCAAUCAGGGCUCUGCCACUUACUGUUUGGAGAAGCGAUUCACAAUUCGCAUC
RNAcentral lists this long non-coding RNA (2686 nucleotides) under Homo sapiens (human). Its description in RNAcentral is "HSALNT0010801". The record is from RNAcentral. Lineage: Eukaryota; Metazoa; Chordata; Mammalia; Primates; Hominidae.